RNAcentral lists this long non-coding RNA (2186 nucleotides) under Glycine max (soybean). Its description in RNAcentral is "long non-coding RNA (GMAX_LNC003632)". Lineage: Eukaryota; Viridiplantae; Streptophyta; Magnoliopsida; Fabales; Fabaceae. The record is from RNAcentral.
GCCAUGAGUCUCUUUGUAUUCUUGACCGAUCUUUGAAAACCUUCCAAUGAUGCCUAACAUAUCUUAAAUUGUGUGUGUGUUUUUUUUAAUUUAAUUCAAUACAUUUGGAAUGAUAUCAUAGAAAUUGAAAACCAACAAUACUUCAAACAAGUCAAAACAAAACUACUACAUAGGUGAUCCUCUUAGUAAUUGGAUAGAAAAAAAUUACAAACCUCACUAGCUAGGCUAUUUAUCUAUUUAAAAUCGAAAAAAAAAAAUUGCCUCCAUCUAUUAUGUUAGGCAUCAUUGGACGGUUUCCCACUUAUGUUGAAGACAAACAGAAAAUGUAACACAGACAGAAACAUUAUCCCAAGACUCAAUCCCCAAAUAAUCAAAUAUUGCAUUGAAUAGCCACUUUAUCAGACACUGACACAUCCGAGACCCCCAACUGCAAGUGAGACUGAGUUAGAAAUAAUUAAUUAAAAGGAGAUAAAUGUUAGUGCUAAGUUAGCUCAGAACAAAGUAUCUUUCAUCAACGGCAAGAGUAUGAAUGAAAAUGUUCCUACACAAUAGGUUAUGACUAUGACCAAUUCAAGGUAGCAACAAAUCACAUUUUGUGUUUACCCUGCGGUCUACAUUAUACAAAAUGGCCACAAUUGGGUUUAUUUCAUCUUCCCCCUGUAUUAUAAAAACAGGGAGCUGAAUCUCCGAGCCCUUGUUCACUCCUAAAUCACAGUUUUGUGGAUGAUUUGAUUCACGUUCACUUAAUUUGAUUUUAUGUUGAAAAUCAUUCUUAGUUAAAACUAAUUUUAAAUUUACCCAAAUUUCGGUAGCUUUUAAAUUUUGUUAGAUAAAAUAAGUUUAGUGAUACUAGACAUGUUUGGAUUCGCAUUCACAUUACUACUCAAACGUGGAUCACAUCUUGACUUUUUAAUUACUUUUUGUUUUGAUACAUCUUGAAGUGGAAAUUUCACAUUCCCAUUACUCAAACAUGAAUCACAAAAGCAACUUUUUGGUAAAUCUUACCGUGAAAAUUCGAUCAAAUUCGAUCAAACGCGAAUUAAAGAUCUUAAUCCAAACACACACUAAAUUUCACUACUACUAACUUACUUUUAAAAUAUAAAAAAAUUAAAUAUAAAUCAGAUAACUUAAAAAAUCAAUUUUCCGGACGCUCACUUUUCUUUUUUAGGAACAGACAACACUCACUUAAUCCAAAUUUUCACGAGCACAUUUUUUUUUCCAACCACCUUAAAAAAAAAAACCCUUCUCAGUACUCACUACAAAACUCAGCUUUUGGAUCCGAAAAAGCACAUGAAAAGUUAGUUCAAACCCAAAACUACACAUAAAUCAAUCAAAAGCAAAACACCGCCACCAAAAAACAGUCAGAUCUAUGCAUUUCCCAUAUCCAAAAAGAAGAAAAAUCUUUGCUUUUGUUAUUUAUUAUUAUUUCCAUAAAAAGAUAACAAAAAGAACAAGUAAAGAAGAACAGACAGUUACAGUAACAGCAAUGGUGGUGUGUUUUUCCUUUUCUUUGCUUAGUAACCUAUAACGAAAUGAUACCUCAGAUCCCGGGAACCGGAUCAGCCGGUGUAGAUAUGGAUUUUAACGGCGAGGAUGAGGACGGAGUAGAGCGCGAAGAAGAUGAGCGUGUGGAUGAAAAUGGCUUUGCCGUUGGUCUUCAUGCUACCGAACUCAAGCUGCUUCCCGUUCCCAGGAAAGGAGAAAAGCAGCCCCGGUUGGAGCAGCACGAACAGAACUACCCCGAUCAAAACCGUUGCCCAAUCAGCCAUUUUCUCACUGACCCAGAAAAUUAAAAUUAAAAAAAAAUGUGGCUUUCUUUGAAGAAAAGAGUAAAGGUUGUAGCUUUUUAGGGCGAUGCUUGGUAUACUUUGUAUUUUUGGGAGAGACACUGAUUAUUAAUGAAGGAAGAUGCAACGAAAGGGAAGAAUUUGGAAGCACGAGAAAAAGGGUGGCAGAACGAAGCGAGUGUUUGGCGUGGCUAUGCUAUUCUGUGCUCGGGACUAGGGUAUUGGGGUUUUGUGUUAACGUAGAUAUCCGGAUCUGGAUUUUAUUUGUUUCGGGUUCGGUUUAGUGGAACUGAUUUUUGCCUCGCUCUUAUCUAUUUGUCUAUGCUUAAGCUUAGUUGUGACUUGUCGGUCAUCAUUCCAUAAUUAUAUUAAAUAAGUCUGUUUGGACAACAAUCAAAU